This 253-nucleotide ribosomal RNA is filed under the name uncultured bacterium. RNAcentral describes it as "partial 16S ribosomal RNA". It matches the Rfam family "Bacterial small subunit ribosomal RNA", at positions 524 to 776 of the family's 1533-position model. The record is from RNAcentral.
UACGUAGGGUGCAAGCGUUGUCCGGAAUUAUUGGGCGUAAAGAGCGUGUAGGCGGCCCGAUUAGUCCGCUGUGAAAGUCCAGGGCUCAACCCUGGAAUGCCGGUGGAUACUGUUGGGCUAGAGUCCGGAAGGGGCGAGUGGAAUUCCUGGUGUAGCGGUGAAAUGCGCAGAUAUCAGGAGGAACACCAAUGGCGAAGGCAGCUCGCUGAAACGUAACUAACGCUGAGACGCGAAAGCGUAAAGAGCAAACAGG